GGGAAACGUUUCAUCCAACAUGCAGCCCUCUGUCCCCACAGAGCAGAAUGGCUUCCCGAUCGCUUUGUGAUGACACAGGAGUCAACUCAUCCUAUCGACACCUGACACCCGCAAGGUGCAACGACCCCAGACGGAACUUGCGGAGACGACUAGGGUAACCAAGCUACUGCCUC
Molecule: long non-coding RNA, 173 nt
Organism: Cololabis saira (Pacific saury)
Lineage: Eukaryota; Metazoa; Chordata; Actinopteri; Beloniformes; Belonidae
Exons: 3
Source: RefSeq, a predicted model, not a curated record